RNAcentral lists this ribosomal RNA (606 nucleotides) under Leptographium lundbergii. RNAcentral's name for it is "eukaryotic LSU rRNA". It matches the Rfam family "Eukaryotic large subunit ribosomal RNA", at positions 1 to 626 of the family's 3401-position model. The record is from RNAcentral. Lineage: Eukaryota; Fungi; Ascomycota; Sordariomycetes; Ophiostomatales; Ophiostomataceae.
UUGACCUCGGAUCAGGUAGGACUACCCGCUGAACUUAAGCAUAUCAAUAAGCGGAGGAAAAGAAACCAACAGGGAUUGCCCCAGUAACGGCGAGUGAAGCGGCAACAGCUCAGAUUUGGAAUCUGGUCCCCAGGGCCCGAGUUGUAAUCUGGAGAGGAUGCUUCUGGCGCGGCGCCUUCCGAGUUCCCUGGAACGGGACGCCGGAGAGGGUGAGAGCCCCGUACGGUUGGACGCCUAGCCUUUGUGAAGCUCCUUCGACGAGUCGAGUAGUUUGGGAAUGCUGCUCAAAAUGGGAGGUAAAUUUCUUCUAAAGCUAAAUACCGGCCAGAGACCGAUAGCGCACAAGUAGAGUGAUCGAAAGAUGAAAAGCACUUUGAAAAGAGGGUCAAACAGUACGUGAAAUUGUUGAAAGGGAAGCGCCCGUGGCCAGACUUGUGCCCCGCGGACCACCCGGCGCCCUCAGCGCCGGUGCACUCCGCGGGGCGCAGGCCAGCAUCGGUUUUCCCAGGGGGAUAAAGGCGGCGGGAACGUGGCUCCCUCGGGAGUGUUAUAGCCCGCCGCGCCAUGCCCCUGGGGGGACCGAGGACCGCGCUUCGGCAAGGAUGC